UACUAGAGUAGCACUCGCAUAUCAAUAAGCGGAGGAAAAGAAACUAACAAGGAUUCCCCUAGUAACGGCGAGUGAAGCGGGAAGAGCUCAAAUUUGAAAUCUUAAAGGGUUUCCCUUUACGAAUUGUAGUUUAAAGAAGUGUUUUCUGUGGAGGUUUUGGUAAAAGUUCUUUGGAAUAGGACAUCAUAGAGGGUGAGAAUCCCGUAUUUGACCUUUACUUUCAACUUUGUGAUACACUUUCAAAGAGUCGGAUUGUUUGGGAAUGCAGUCCAAAAUGGGUGGUAAAUUUCAUCUAAAGCUAAAUAUUGGCGAGAGACCGAUAGCGAACAAGUACCGUGAGGGAAAGAUGAAAAGAACUUUGAAAAGAGAGUUAAACAGUACGUGAAAUUGUCAAAAGGGAAGCGUUUGACACCAGUGUUGUUUUUCUGAAAAUCAAUUAAAGAACUGUUUAUGCUAAGCUGUUUAGACUUUAUCAGCUAUCUGUUUAGUUUUGAGCUUUUCUUUAAUGCACUUUUCAGUUAACAAGUCAACAUCAAUUUCUUUUGCUGUAAAAAAGCUUGAGGAAGGUGGCUUGAGAUUCGUCUUAAGUGUUUAUAGCCUCUUGCCUAUGCAGUCGGAGAGAUUGAGGUCUGCAGCGUAGAUCCUUCGGGGCUAAAUGCAUUUGUGCUAAGUUAUAGCAUUUUAUAGACAACUUGUUGACUAUGAUUUGUCUUGUAGCUUACUCGCUUAUGUUAUUUUACCUACGCUUAGGAUGUUGAUCUCUCACAGUCGAGC
This 774-nucleotide ribosomal RNA is filed under the name uncultured Neocallimastigales. Its description in RNAcentral is "partial large subunit ribosomal RNA". It matches the Rfam family "Eukaryotic large subunit ribosomal RNA", at positions 20 to 645 of the family's 3401-position model. Lineage: Eukaryota; Fungi; Neocallimastigomycota; Neocallimastigomycetes; Neocallimastigales. The record is from RNAcentral.